CGCCGGCGACCGGCGCACGGGUGAGUAACACGUAUGCGACCUGCCCCCGCAGGGGGAUAACCGGGAGAAAUCCCGACUAAUACCGCGUAACGCCGCGGACCUGCAUGGGUCUGCGGCCAAAGGAAGCGAUUCCGGCGGGGAUGGGCAUGCGGCGCAUUAGCUAGUCGGCGGGGUAACGGCCCACCGAGGCGACGAUGCGUAGGGGUUCUGAGAGGAAGGUCCCCCACACUGGUACUGAGACACGGACCAGACUCCUACGGGAGGCAGCAG
This 270-nucleotide ribosomal RNA is filed under the name uncultured bacterium. Its description in RNAcentral is "partial 16S ribosomal RNA". It matches the Rfam family "Bacterial small subunit ribosomal RNA", at positions 86 to 354 of the family's 1533-position model. The record is from RNAcentral.